This is a long non-coding RNA of Glycine soja, 733 nucleotides long. RefSeq lists it as uncharacterized. NCBI's taxonomy places the organism in Eukaryota, Viridiplantae, Streptophyta, Magnoliopsida, Fabales, Fabaceae. The transcript is spliced from 3 exons. The record is from RefSeq and is a predicted model, not a curated record.
ACUUUCAGCUUUUCAUUGAUAUCCACUGGCAAAUAUGAUUUCUUUAAGGCUAAGCCUUCUUUUCACGCACUUAACUGCGGUCUGAUAAUUCAUCAGACAUAUUCCAAGAAUGAUCGGAAGACUUAUAUUGUCUACAUGGGCGACCACCCUAAGGGCAUGGACCCCGCAUCCUUACCUUCCCUUCAUAUGACAAUGGCUCAAAAAGUCCUUGGCAGCGACUUUGAACCAGAAGCUAUACUUCACAGUUACAAGAAAAGCUUUAAUGGAUUUGUCAUCAAAUUAACAGAACAGGAAGCGGAAAAAAUGGCAGGUACUAUAUAUAAUCUCCUUUUUUUUACAACAACUAUUACUUAAAAUAUUCGCUCAACGUUCUCGGAAGAAAAAACCACGGUGUUAAAUGUUAAUACUUUCAUAUUGUAAGAAAUGGACACUGUUGUUUCUGUCUUCCCAAAUAGGAAGACUAAUCUGCACACAACUAGAUCCUGGGACUUCUUAGGCGUUUCGCAUCAAAUCCAAAGAACAAGUUUAGAGAGUGACAUAAUUUUGGGAGUAAUAGACACGGGAGUUUGGCCAGAGUCUAAUAGCUUCAGUGACAAAGGAUUAAUUUGGUCCUAGCCUCCACCAAGCAAAUGGAAGGGAUCAUGCAAAACUUUACCUGCAACAAGUAAUCAUGUCUCUUGAUAUAUCUCGGAUGAUCAGAAAGUGUUAACAAUAUAUUUUCUAAGACACUAUU